GGCUGAGGCAGGAGAACGGCCGUGAACCCGGGAGGCGGAGCUUGUUGUGAGCGGAGAUCGCGCCGCUGCACUUCAGCGUGGGUGACAGAGCAAGACUCCGUCUUGAAAAAAAGAAAAGAAUUCCAACCAGCAGUACAAAAAGAAAAGAAAAGAAGCUAUAGCAAAAGCUCCACUAACUGACCUGUGGAAAGAGAGUCACAAGCAUGGGCGAAGUAUCUCCCUUAGGGAGAACAAGAAUUUGUUCUCUGUCUUGUGUCUCACCAACAAAAUCCAGCAUCUGAUAGACAAAGAGUCACAGUGCAUAAAAGAAAUGUCCGCCUGAGUGCCGUAAUCACCAUGUCAUCCCGUCCUCCUCUGGCCAUCAGCCUAGGCAGCUGGAAAGGUGACUUCCUGACCAGAAUGAAAGAAUCCUAGCAGCCACGAGGAGCUGAGCCUUGUGGGGUAUCUCAGGACCAGGCAUGGGUGACAGUGAUGCUGGCUUCUGACAGGGAAGAUCACCCUAGCCAGCAAUGGAACUAACUGGGUCGUGGGACCAGGAAGCAUCCCUCUUUCCUUGUCUGUGAUUAGUGGUUCACAUUGGAUCUCACAGCCUCCUUGGGAGGCAGACAGUGCCUCUAGCAUCAUCUCCAAAUUACAGAUAUGGAAACAGCUAGGCUUAAAUAAAGAAAUUCAAACUCAGAUUCAGGGCACAGCGCCAAUGCUUCCUCCACUGUGCCAUGUUGAUCCAUAAAGUUGAAAGCCUCUGGCUAGGGACCAUAACUGCAAACAGGAGAAAAAGAAGGAAGCUAGAAAGAAAAGGAAUCACCCUGGACUCACACCGCAGGCUCCCAGUCACCUUUCAGAGACUUGGGGGAGAAAUUGCAAGACCAAGUGAGGGCCAAGUAAGCUGCCCCUGUGUAAUCUUAUCCCGAUAUUCACCACCAGGGGGGGUAGUUGCUCCACAUCGGUGGUCUUUCUGCGGCGCUAAGGAGGUAUUUGCUAAGGGUGAGAGACCCUCAGGGCUCUAAGGGGUCUUUUUCUCUCUCCCUUGCCCGAGUGCUGCCUGCAUUUGCUUAGCACGCGUCACCCUGUUUUAGAUAAGGAAGGCAUUGCAGAGAUCAUCUGGUCCCAGGCAGCUGGCAGUUCCCCCUACUCUUAAGAGCUCCAAAAAUAGACUCCAGCACCUCAGUUGGCUGCUAUCACAAGGCUGCCGGUGUGGUCUGUUGGCUGCCCACAGCCCUGAAACAGGAGCCGGACUAGGGCGGGUGAGCCCCAGGCGACCCUGCAUUCGCCCUUGCGGAGGAAGCAGCGGUUCCUCCUGCCCUAGAGACCCUGCACAGCUGCCCCAGCACCUGCUCCCACGGCACCUGCUCCCACCCUUCUGGCCUCCUCACUGGCCAUGCCGGCUCCCCUCCGUGCCCAGUGCCUGAAACCCUUGGCUUGCAAGCCCAAAGGCUGCAGCCCCUUCGUCUGCCUCUUGAGCUCCUUAUUCUAAGAAGCAGCCUUGGUAGAGGUGAGCCUGGGCUCACAGAACCCCAUUUAGCAUCUACUCCCGCCUUCUCUUGUCCCCA
This 1550-nucleotide long non-coding RNA is filed under the name Homo sapiens (human). RNAcentral's name for it is "HSALNT0020686". Lineage: Eukaryota; Metazoa; Chordata; Mammalia; Primates; Hominidae. The record is from RNAcentral.